UACGAAGGGUGCAAACGUUGCUCGGAAUUAUUGGGCGUAAAGCGCACGUAGGCGGCAUAGCAAGUCGGAUGUGAAAUCUCUCGGCUCAACCAAGGAAGUGCAUCCGAAACUGCUGUGCUUGAGUACGAAAGAGGAUCGCGGAAUUCCCGGUGUAGAGGUGAAAUUCGUAGAUAUCGGGAGGAACACCAGUGGCGAAGGCGGCGAUCUGGGUCGAUACUGACGCUGAGGUGCGAAAGCGUGGGGAGCAAACGGG
RNAcentral lists this ribosomal RNA (253 nucleotides) under uncultured bacterium. RNAcentral describes it as "partial 16S ribosomal RNA". It matches the Rfam family "Bacterial small subunit ribosomal RNA", at positions 524 to 776 of the family's 1533-position model. The record is from RNAcentral.